This 57-nucleotide small RNA is filed under the name marine eukaryotic metagenome. RNAcentral describes it as "Cyanobacterial functional RNA 1". It matches the Rfam family "Cyanobacterial functional RNA 1". The record is from RNAcentral.
GUGCGGGUUCAGGCCCUCACACUCCUCACACACCUUCGCCCGACGCGUUCGGGCUUU